Molecule: long non-coding RNA, 1093 nt
Filed under: Manacus vitellinus (golden-collared manakin)
Lineage: Eukaryota; Metazoa; Chordata; Aves; Passeriformes; Pipridae
Description: lncRNA (ENSMVIG00005000914.1)
Source: RNAcentral
CCUCAGCGACAAUAUCUCCUCUGCCUCGUCCCUGCCCUCCUCGGCAACAUUUUCGCGUUUGCCUUGACCCUGCCCUCCUCAGCGACAAUCUCUCCUCUGCCUCAUCCCUGCCCUCCUCGGCGACAGUCUCUCCUCUGUCUCGUCCCUGCCCUCCUCGGCAACAUUUUCGCGUCCUCUGCCUCGUCCCUGCCCUCCUCGGCGACAAUCUCUCCUCUGCCUCGUCCCCGCCCCCGGGACAACCUUGUCUCUGCCUUGACCCUGUGGACCUCGGCGUCGCGGGUGUCGGCGGUGCUGUGGGAGUGGGCUCUGGCGAGCACCGAGGGUGAAGUGUUUGGAGCGGCGGCCCCCGGUGGCUCUCACCGCGGAGAGGGCUUUGGACCUGGUAGGUAGGUCCGUAUGCUGUUUUCAGGGCCUCAUAGAAUCCUCUGUGAUCACCCGUAUCUGCACAUAAUUGAAUUUUUCCCGCUAGACUGAUCCACCACUUGUUCUGGAUGUCACGGAGUUGCUGUGGGAGCUUGCUGCGUGCGAGACGAAAGGCGGCUUUUCUUACAUGACAGGAAGGCUGAGCGAGGUGUGCUCGGUGGGCAGUUCUCCCUCAACAAUUCCUGGAUCUCUUAAUUCAUCAAACCAGCCCGUGUUCUUCUUGAAGGAGAAAAGUUUAGUAGAGGACUGCAGGAUGCAGUUACUGGACGGCGAUCGUGCCGCGCCGGGAGAGAAGGAGAACGACGAACAGCGCCGGGCGAGAACGAGAACGAACAGCGCCCUGCUCGCCUGCACAGCGAUCGUGCCGCGCCGGGAGAGAAGGAGAACGACGAACAGCGCCGGGCGAGAACGAGAACGAACAGCGCCCUGCUCGCCUGCACAGCGAUCGUGCCGCGCCGGGAGAGAAGGAGAACGACGAACAGCGCCGGGCGAGAACGAGAACGAACAGCGCCCUGCUCGCCUGCACAGCGAUCAGAGCGCCCCGGGCGAGAACGAGAACGAACCGCGCCCGGCUGCCCGGCGAUCGGAGCGCGCCGGGCUUUCUUCCUACGCUCCUCUCAUUGGCCGGAGCUGGUCAGCGCGUCAUGUUGCUCCCGCCCCUUCUGCCUGA